AGGGCCAUCAGAGGAAUAUGGAUUUAAAAGGAGCUCUUGUUGUGGCAAAUCAGGACCAAACUCACCAUCACCGUGUACUGACACUAACAUAAAAGAUUAACUAAUAACAUACGAAACGAUACAAUUUAACAGCAUAUUUGCUAUAAAUCGGAAAUAGAUACGCGAAUAAUACGAUAUUCUUAGGAGACACAAAUUUAAUUUUAUGCUUUGAUUUUAAUAUAUUUCAGUUAAGCGUUACGAUCUUAACAAUUUAUAUUUACUAUAUAGGUAUGAUUCCAGUUGACAAUAAUAAUUGCUACAAGUUACGUUAUAGUAGUAGUCGACUGAUUAUCCAAAUGUUCUUGCUAGAGGUUUAGAUCGCCAAGUUUGUAAAUUACCUAUUCAACAAAAGUUGAUUUGAAUCAGACAAAAUCAG
This is a non-coding RNA of Cinara cedri, 415 nucleotides long. NCBI's taxonomy places the organism in Eukaryota, Metazoa, Arthropoda, Insecta, Hemiptera, Aphididae. The record is from the annotation of a GenBank genome assembly.